CACGCCGCACGCGCAUUUUUUUAAUUACCGGAAGAUAUCUUCAACACCGCGACCGCGGUAGCUGCAAAGACCACUAUUCAGAGACGCUUUAAAGGAGGAGAUAAUUCCAAAUGGGAAAUAUUGCAUGCCUUCCAUUGCCUGACAGUCCCAGAGAACUGGAAAACAGCUAGCAUUCCAACAGCAGCACUCCAAGCUGUGAAGAAACUGUGCCAGUUCUACUAUAUUGAAGAUGAAGACAAAUUGCAGACAGAAUUGAAGGUCUUCCAUACGUCAUACUCAUGCCCACCACCAGCCAGUGUGUCUUCUAUUCUGUCAGUGGUCAAGGAAAACAAUGCACAUCUAGUUUUCCCCAACAUGACUCUGCUGCUGAAGACAUAUGGCACUCUUCCGGUGUCCACAGCAACUGUGGAACGUUCCUUCUCAAAACUGAAGCUUGUGAAAACCAAACUUCGCAGCCUUUGCAAAGAGGAGAGAUUGUCUGACCUUCUUCUGUUGGCCAUUGAGAAGGACAUUCCAAUAAAUGACAAUAAUGUCAUUAACAUUUUUAGGGACAUGGCCAACAGGAAAUUUCUGUUGUAAAAGUCUACAACAACUCAUCCUCCACUUAUUGCUCUUGGUGUGCAGCAGCCUCUGUGAGCAUCUCCCUCUUAUUUUCUUGGAGCAGUCAGCCUUGGCAGAUCAACUCCAGUAUUAGCAGCAGCAGCAACAACAACAACAGCAAAGGCAGUAUACUCACUCAAGGAAUUUAGUAAGAUUUUACCAGAACAGGUAUCACAUUAAUGUAAAAAAUCUGUUGUAUUUGCUGUAAAAUAAAAUUGCUGUAUUUUUUCUGUUUGUUUUUGUUUUUAUUAUAUUAAUGUAAUAUAUGUAUUACACAAUGUAUUAUAUAAACUCUUGUAUUUUUGUAAUUCAGUUUUUGCCAUCAAAAUAGCCACAAAUGCUGACAUGGCAUUAAAUAAAACUAUACUCUACUGAACGAAACAUGGGCCACGUUGAUUUUACUAUAACGUUUACUAUAGUUUUUACUAUAAUGGCUGUUCUUAAUUAUUCUGUAUAACAGAGAAGAAAAAGCCAUGAAGUUGGUACAACUUAAGACACUUCAGUUUCUAAUUAUUCUGGACAGAAAAUAUUUUUUUAACUUUUAAACUUAAAAUUUGUUUUCUGUUCCAAAACUGCAUCACAGCAUUUUCUGCCGUAUCAAUACCGAAUCAUCCGUAUCGAUACGCGAAUCAGCAAGGAAUGUGUCACGAUAUAUUACUGUAUUGAUAUUUUGAGCACCGCGCUAUUUAAAGCCUUGUUCCAUGUGCCCCUUUUAUACUUUGAGCACCUGCCCUUCCAAAGAUCUCUGCACGGCCCUGGUUUUGAGUGUGUGUGUGUGUAUACACUAGAGGCCAAAAGUUUGAGAUAAUGUAAAGAUUUUGCUCUUAUAGACAGAACUUGGUACUUUUGUUUGCCAAAUUGCUAUUCAACUGAUCACAAUGUAUAGUCAGAACAUUAUUAACGUGAAAAUUACUAUUACAAUUUGAACGCCGCAGAUGGAAUGCACAGCCACGUUCUCAGGAAACAGAAGGGAUCUCCCCCGCCCAUGGAAGCGGUUCUCCCACUCCAGGCGGUCGGCCAGGAGCCCCUCCCCGCUCGCGAUUGGCGGUCUCAUACCCCGCCGUGUUUCAGCGGCUGGCAGGGAUCUCCUCCACCCUGACUGCUGCAA
Long non-coding RNA from Xyrauchen texanus (razorback sucker), 1708 nucleotides. RefSeq lists it as uncharacterized. NCBI's taxonomy places the organism in Eukaryota, Metazoa, Chordata, Actinopteri, Cypriniformes, Catostomidae. The record is from RefSeq and is a predicted model, not a curated record. The transcript is spliced from 4 exons.